Molecule: ribosomal RNA, 468 nt
Filed under: uncultured bacterium
Lineage: Bacteria
Description: partial 16S ribosomal RNA
Rfam family: Bacterial small subunit ribosomal RNA
Source: RNAcentral
GACGAACGCUGGCGGCGUGCUUAACACAUGCAAGUCGAACGGAAAGGCCCUGCUUGUGUGGGGUGCUCGAGUGGCGAACGGGUGAGUAACACGUGAGUAACCUGCCCUUGACUUUGGGAUAACUUCAGGAAACUGGGGCUAAUACCGGAUAGGAGCUCCUGCUGCAUGGUGGGGGUUGGAAAGUUUCGGCGGUUGGGGAUGGACUCGCGGCUUAUCAGCUUGUUGGUGGGGUAGUGGCUUACCAAGGCUUUGACGGGUAGCCGGCCUGAGAGGGUGACCGGCCACAUUGGGCCUGCGAUACGGCCCAGACUCCUACGGGAGGCAGCAGUGGGGAAUAUUGCACAAUGGGCGGAAGCCUGAUGCAGCAACGCCGCGUGCGGGAUGACGGCCUUCGGGUUGUAAACCGCUUUCGCCUGUGACGAAGCGUGAGUGACGGUAAUGGGUAAAGAAGCACCGGCUAACUACGUG